Molecule: ribosomal RNA, 666 nt
Filed under: Caulobacteraceae bacterium
Lineage: Bacteria; Pseudomonadati; Pseudomonadota; Alphaproteobacteria; Caulobacterales; Caulobacteraceae
Description: bacterial SSU rRNA
Rfam family: Bacterial small subunit ribosomal RNA
Source: RNAcentral
AACUUGUGCUAAUACCGAAUGUGCCCUUCGGGGGAAAGAUUUAUCGCCUUUAGAGCGGCCCGCGUCUGAUUAGCUAGUUGGUGAGGUAAAGGCUCACCAAGGCGACGAUCAGUAGCUGGUCUGAGAGGAUGAUCAGCCACAUUGGGACUGAGACACGGCCCAAACUCCUACGGGAGGCAGCAGUGGGGAAUCUUGCGCAAUGGGCGAAAGCCUGACGCAGCCAUGCCGCGUGAAUGAUGAAGGUCUUAGGAUUGUAAAAUUCUUUCACCGGGGACGAUAAUGACGGUACCCGGAGAAGAAGCCCCGGCUAACUUCGUGCCAGCAGCCGCGGUAAUACGAAGGGGGCUAGCGUUGCUCGGAAUUACUGGGCGUAAAGGGAGCGUAGGCGGACAUUUAAGUCAGGGGUGAAAUCCCGGGGCUCAACCUCGGAAUUGCCUUUGAUACUGGGUGUCUUGAGUAUGAGAGAGGUGUGUGGAACUCCGAGUGUAGAGGUGAAAUUCGUAGAUAUUCGGAAGAACACCAGUGGCGAAGGCGACACACUGGCUCAUUACUGACGCUGAGGCUCGAAAGCGUGGGGAGCAAACAGGAUUAGAUACCCUGGUAGUCCACGCCGUAAACGAUGAUUGCUAGUUGUCGGGAUGCAUGCAUUUCGGUGACGCAGCUAAC